UUAUGAAAGCUGGACAGAAGAAGACAAACAAUUUCGA
RNAcentral lists this small RNA (37 nucleotides) under Arabidopsis thaliana (thale cress). RNAcentral describes it as "ATSL133210". The record is from RNAcentral. Lineage: Eukaryota; Viridiplantae; Streptophyta; Magnoliopsida; Brassicales; Brassicaceae.